GCGGGGAUAGUCAAGUGGUCAACGACGCAAGACUUAGGAUCUUGUCUCGUAGGAGUCCGUGAGUUCGAGUCUCACUCCCCGCACCA
RNAcentral lists this transfer RNA (86 nucleotides) under Candidatus Heimdallarchaeota archaeon. Its description in RNAcentral is "tRNA-Leu". It matches the Rfam family "tRNA". Rfam says of the family: Transfer RNA (tRNA) molecules are approximately 80 nucleotides in length. Their secondary structure includes four short double-helical elements and three loops (D, anti-codon, and T loops). The record is from RNAcentral. Lineage: Archaea; Promethearchaeati; Candidatus Heimdallarchaeota.